GAGAAUACUCUAUGGAUGAUUAAAAGAAAGGAACCCAUGGGGUAUCUGGGUGGCUCAGUCGGUUAAGGCUCUAACUCUUGAUUUUGACUCAGGUAAUGAUCUCAGGGUUGUGAGAUCGAGCUCUGCGUUGGGCUCUGUGCUGGGUAUGAAGCCUUCUUAAGAUUCUCUCUCUCUUUCUCUCUCUCUCUCUCUCUCUCUCUCUCUCCCCCUCUGCCCCUCCCCUGCACAUGCUUGCUUUCACUUAAAAAAAAAAAAAAAGGAAAAGAAAGAAAGGAACCCAUUGAGGUCCAGGUUAUUUCCAAGCCUAGGGGCCCCAGAGGGGCAACACGUUGUGAAAAAGUGUGCAUCAUUAUAUAAAGACGGCUUCUACCUAUAGUUUCAUGGUUACUCAAAACAGCGCUGUGAGAAGAUCAAGACCAGAAUGUGCUUCACCAGGAGGAGGACCAGAGGGGUGGCCGCUGCUCCAGAAUCUCCUGAUCAAUUAAAAGAUUAUCCCUCAUCCUCAGUACUUCCUAAAAUGAAUUUUGUUUCAUUAAUAUCCAGUUUUCAAAACAUUGGCAUGAGCCUAUCUUGUUCUGACCAGUAGCCGACAUCAAAAGCCGCAUUAAGUUUUGUUCCAAAGAUAAAGUGUUUUAAUAAUUUCUCUUUUAUCCUCUUGUGUCCUUUCCUUUCAUCUGUGUUGCAGCUUCGGUUUGCUAUUUACAAAUGUCAUGUUGAAAUUUUAUUGUAUGAAAAAUUAUCUCAAAAUAUUAGUGAAUUCACAAUUGCAAUCCGAUUUUGAAUGUCUUCAUUGUUUGUUUGUUUGUUUGUUUGUUUUGCCAAAAUUUAAUUUGAAUAUAUAUCAGGGUUGGUUUGAAUCAUUCAAUAAUAAAAUUCAUUUCAUACCCCUUAGAUACUUUCUUGAUUUUGAGUGUUUCCAUUUCUCCCCUUUUCUGCAGUUUUAUCAUCAUAAUAUUUUUUUGUUGUUUGUUUUCUGGGUCUUUCUUUCUUUCUUUCUUUCUUUCUUUCUUUCUUUCUUUUUUAGAGAGA
Molecule: long non-coding RNA, 1029 nt
Organism: Acinonyx jubatus (cheetah)
Lineage: Eukaryota; Metazoa; Chordata; Mammalia; Carnivora; Felidae
Exons: 3
Source: RefSeq, a predicted model, not a curated record